UACAGAGGUCCCGAGCGUUGUUCGGAUUCAUUGGGCGUAAAGGGUGCGUAGGCGGCUUGCUAAGUUUGAUGUGAAAUCCUGGGGCUCAACCCUGGACUGCAUUGAAUAGCUGGCAGGCUAGAGUACUGGAGAGGAAACUGGAAUUACGGUGUAGCAGUGAAAUGCGUAGAGAUCGUAAGGAAGACCAGUGGCGAAGGCGAGUUUCUGGACAGUUACUGACGCUGAGGCACGAAGGCCAGGGAGCAAACGGG
This 251-nucleotide ribosomal RNA is filed under the name uncultured bacterium. RNAcentral describes it as "partial 16S ribosomal RNA". It matches the Rfam family "Bacterial small subunit ribosomal RNA", at positions 524 to 776 of the family's 1533-position model. The record is from RNAcentral.